This 304-nucleotide ribosomal RNA is filed under the name Elphidium sp. S7. RNAcentral's name for it is "SSU rRNA". It matches the Rfam family "Eukaryotic small subunit ribosomal RNA", at positions 1195 to 1470 of the family's 1831-position model. Lineage: Eukaryota; Foraminifera; Rotaliida; Elphidiidae. The record is from RNAcentral.
UUGACUCACGCAGGAAUCUUACCGGGUCCGGACACACUGAGGAUUGACAGAUACAUUGCAAAAUAUGAUAGCUCUUUCAUAAUUAUGUGAUAGGUGGUGCAUGGCCGUUCUUAGUUCGUGGAGUGAUCUGUCUGCUUAAUUGCGUUGGUAUAUAUAAUGCAUGUUAAUUGCAUUUUUACCAUGCAACGAACGUGACCGCAACCUCUUGUUGCACUAUAGCUUCUCAUGGUGCAAAACUAGAGGGACCGCUGUAUUUAUUUCUUUUAGCCAGAGGAAGGAUGCGGCAAUAACAGGUCUGUGAUGC